RNAcentral lists this transfer RNA (71 nucleotides) under human gut metagenome. It matches the Rfam family "tRNA". From Rfam's summary of the family: Transfer RNA (tRNA) molecules are approximately 80 nucleotides in length. Their secondary structure includes four short double-helical elements and three loops (D, anti-codon, and T loops). RNAcentral also lists the same sequence under 1 other name. The record is from RNAcentral.
GAAGCAUAGCUCAGCUGGUAGAGCACCUGCCUUACAAGCAGGGGGUCACAGGUUCGAGCCCUGUUGUUUCC